Molecule: long non-coding RNA, 306 nt
Filed under: Gossypium raimondii (Peruvian cotton)
Lineage: Eukaryota; Viridiplantae; Streptophyta; Magnoliopsida; Malvales; Malvaceae
Description: long non-coding RNA (GRAI_LNC005999)
Source: RNAcentral
GAGAAAACACGAGCCUCUAUUGACUCAAAGGGGUUUAUUAUUCCGAAAAAGACUCCUUUAAACUAGAAAAAAUAGUCGAAUUUGGUGAACAGAAAAGAGUAUGCAAUGAAGGUUGCUGGUCAGGCAACCAUUACACUGAUGAAAAAAGGAAAAGGAAAAAAUAGAUGAAAAGGCAUGAGGAAGAGAAAAUUGGAAAAAGGGAGGUGGGUGUCAGUCAAAGGAGGUCACAAAUGGUAGGGAGGCAAUAAGGAAUCCGACCAACACAACCACUAAUGAAAGGAAGAGGAGACAAAAGAAUGGGAAAUG